GGAGGGGCCCUGGCUCAGUGGUAGAACAUCUGUUUUGCAUGCAGAGGAUCCUAUGUUCAAUCUGUAGCAUCUUCA
This is a non-coding RNA of Podarcis lilfordi (Lilford's wall lizard), 75 nucleotides long. Lineage: Eukaryota; Metazoa; Chordata; Lepidosauria; Squamata; Lacertidae. The record is from the annotation of a GenBank genome assembly.